This 870-nucleotide long non-coding RNA is filed under the name Numida meleagris (helmeted guineafowl). RNAcentral's name for it is "lncRNA (ENSNMEG00000020659.1)". Lineage: Eukaryota; Metazoa; Chordata; Aves; Galliformes; Numididae. The record is from RNAcentral.
ACAACCUGUCACUGUGGCUGGUAUUACUCCUACAUUUGCUUUCUUACUUCUUUUAAAUAGGUGUUUACAAGGUAACCACCAGAACCAGCGUAUUCAAAGCUACAGAACUGGCAGACAUCAGUAUCUAAUAGCUGGUGUCCUUCCUCCUUUCCUCCCGUUACAUACGCUCUGUGAAAUGGUGUCAGUGAAGACAACCAAGCCUGCUCUUCUUUUUCCCCAAGCAACUCACAAAUUAUUUGGGAAUCUCAGAGAAGCCCAGCACCAGACAUCAUUAAUUCUCUAGUCUUAGUAGAUCUAGAAGUACCAACCUGUGCGGAUGGAUAAGUGGCUAACAGAAAACAGCAGGCUGAAGAGAAGGUAAGCACGUGCUAGGAAAUAGUAUUUAAAUCCUUCUAAGGUCUGAUAAGUAAGUUGUACAGACUGAUGGUCCAGUUGAACCUGUAAAAACUGAUAAAACUUCAAAAUUGUCCUGAACUUGUUCAAAUCAAUCAGUACAUCGUAACAUCAACAAGGGGUUCUGUCACACAGAUCACAUCCACGAAGGUGGAGGCUGCUGUAUCCUGACAAAGACCCUGGUGUAAUACAUGCACCCUAAAGGGUCUCCCAGACCUACCUAUAAGCCGCUCCAGUGGUUGGCCUCCAGCUGUUGCUCCAUCCACAUAACAGCCAGUGACUAUAUGAGAGUGUGCAUGUGCCUGAACUCAAAUGAUUAUCACCUUCAAUUGAACUGAAGCAGACAGCCGGGCAGACUCACAUACAUCAUCGUAGGUACAGGGAAAAGGAAACAGUGACUAUGCACUAGUGGAUUUAACACAUUUUAUUACUGUAUGUUGUAAUAAAAAAAAAAAUGUUUCCUUCUCUGAAUCUGUG